GAUGAAGAACGCAGCGAAAUGCGAUAAGUAGUGUGAAUUGCAGAAUUCAGUGAAUCAUCGAAUCUUUGAACGCACAUUGCGGCCAUAGGUAUUCCUUUGGCCAUGCCUGUUCGAGCGUCAUUUACACCCUCAAGCCUAGCUUGGUGUUGGGCGUCUGUCCCGCCGUUCUCGCGCGCGGACUCGCCUCAAAGUCAUUGGCGGCGGUCGUGCCGGCCCCCUCGCGCAGCACAUUUGCGCUUCUCGGAGGCCCGGCGGAUCCGCGCUCCAGCAAGACCUUUCACGGCUUGACCUCGGAUCAGGUAGGGAUACCCGCUGAACUUAAGCAUAUCAAUAAGCGGAGGA
RNAcentral lists this unclassified non-coding RNA (342 nucleotides) under soil metagenome. RNAcentral describes it as "partial contains 5.8S ribosomal RNA, internal transcribed spacer 2, and large subunit ribosomal RNA". The stretch from base 1 to 120 matches the Rfam family "5.8S ribosomal RNA", at positions 35 to 154 of the family's 154-position model. The record is from RNAcentral.